RNAcentral lists this ribosomal RNA (461 nucleotides) under uncultured bacterium. RNAcentral describes it as "SSU rRNA". It matches the Rfam family "Bacterial small subunit ribosomal RNA", at positions 26 to 518 of the family's 1533-position model. The record is from RNAcentral.
AGAGCGAACGCUGGCGGCAGGCCUAAUACAUGCAAGUCGAACGGACCCUUCGGGGUUAGUGGCGGACGGGUGAGUAACACGUGGGAACGUGCCCUUUGGUUCGGAACAACUCAGGGAAACUUGAGCUAAUACCGAAUGUGCCCCCUCCUUUGAUUAGGGGGGUGGGAAAGAUUUAUCGCCAUUGGAGCGGCCCGCGUCUGAUUAGCUAGUUGGUGGGGUAAAGGCCCACCAAGGCUACGAUCAGUAGCUGGUCUGAGAGGAUGAUCAGCCACACUGGGACUGAGACACGGCCCAGACUCCUACGGGAGGCAGCAGUAGGGAAUCUUGCGCAAUGGGCGAAAGCCUGACGCAGCCAUGCCGCGUGAAUGAUGAAGGUCUUAGGAUUGUAAAUUCUUUCAGCGGGGACGAUAAUGACGGUACCCGCAGAAGAACGCCCCGGCUAACUUCGUGCCAGCAGCCGC